This 304-nucleotide ribosomal RNA is filed under the name uncultured bacterium. RNAcentral's name for it is "partial 16S ribosomal RNA". It matches the Rfam family "Bacterial small subunit ribosomal RNA", at positions 506 to 807 of the family's 1533-position model. The record is from RNAcentral.
CAGCAGUAGCCGCGGUAAUACGAAGGGUGCAAGCGUUAAUCGGAAUUACUGGGCGUAAAGCGUGCGUAGGCGGUUUGUUAAGUCUGUUGUGAAAUCCCCGGGCUCAACCUGGGAAUGGCAAUGGAUACUGGCAAGCUAGAGUGUGUCAGAGGAUGGUGGAAUUCCCGGUGUAGCGGUGAAAUGCGUAGAGAUCGGGAGGAACAUCAGUGGCGAAGGCAGCCAUCUGGGACAACACUGACGCUGAGGCACGAAAGCGUGGGGAGCAAACAGGAUUAGAUACCCGUGUAGUCCCUGUCUCUUAUAC